RNAcentral lists this ribosomal RNA (253 nucleotides) under uncultured bacterium. RNAcentral describes it as "partial 16S ribosomal RNA". It matches the Rfam family "Bacterial small subunit ribosomal RNA", at positions 524 to 776 of the family's 1533-position model. The record is from RNAcentral.
UACAGAGGUCUCAAGCGUUGUUCGGAUUCAUUGGGCGUAAAGGGUGCGUAGGUGGCGCGGUAAGUCGGGUGUGAAAUUUCGGAGCUUAACUCCGAAACUGCAUUCGAUACUGCCGUGCUUGAGGACUGGAGAGGAGACUGGAAUUUACGGUGUAGCAGUGAAAUGCGUAGAGAUCGUAAGGAAGACCAGUGGCGAAGGCGGGUCUCUGGGCCGGAACUGACGCUGAGGAGCGAAAGCGUGGGGAGCAAACAGG